Molecule: ribosomal RNA, 1032 nt
Filed under: Triticum aestivum (bread wheat)
Lineage: Eukaryota; Viridiplantae; Streptophyta; Magnoliopsida; Poales; Poaceae
Description: partial small subunit ribosomal RNA
Source: RNAcentral
AUGGAGGGAGAGGAGGAUGACGACCGCAUCAGCCAUCUCCCCGACUGCCUGCUGGGCAACAUCGUCUCCCUCCUCCCCGUCAAGAACGCAGCCUGCACCAUGCUUCUCUCCCGCCGCUGGCGGCACAUCUGGCCGUCGGUGCCGCUCGACCUAUACCUUGACGGCAGCAACAGGAAUCUUGGCUCCCACGGCCAGUCAAUCCUGCGCAUCCUUUCCUCCCACGGCGAUGGGCCCAUCCGUCGCUUCCACGCCACCAUCUCCGCGCACAAGGCGACCUCUAGCUGGCUACAAAUCCUAUCCAACCAGCCCAUCGACGACAGCCUCGUGCUCAAGUUCGUGCCGCACGCCGCGCACCCGCCGCUCCCCCGCGACCUCCUACGGCCCAGCGCCGGCGUCCUCCGCCAUCUGGAGCUGCACUGCUGCUGCCUCGACCAUCAGCCUGGAGUAGCUCCGCCUUUGCAGAGCCUGCAUUACCUUCACUUGUCCAACGUGGUGAUCCCCGAGGCGUCGUUGCACUCCAUGAUCGCCGGCUGUCUAGCCCUACGGAAGCUAGAGCUCUUCAGGGUCCAUAACCUUCGCCGGCUCGUCCCUUGCUCACGUACCCUCGUCGAGGUGUACAUCAGGCCACACGUCCCGCUUGAAGAGGUCCGAAAGGUUGCUCUCACGCUUCCAAUGCUGCACUCGCCCAACUUUGUGAUUACGCCUAAGAGGCCAGUAUCCAUCAUUACAACACUUAUCCUCAACAUGAAAUUUAGUGAUGGUGAAGAACUGAGGAAGGCUGCCAACAUGUUAGGCUUGUUCCCCUGUUUGCAAGUUCUUCAGAUUUGGUGCCUCGCCUUUGAAUGGACGGAUAAACAUGCGUUUGGACAGUGGCAACCAGCAGCCGAUACAAUUACCUGCCUAAAUGAGCGUCUCAAAUACGUGGAGCUUCAUGGGUAUUAUGGCACUACAGGGGAGGUGCAAUUUGCAGGUUUCCUCAUGGCCGGAGCAAAAGCUCUGAGGGCCAUGCAUGCAAAUACUGCACGGCAGUAA